RNAcentral lists this ribosomal RNA (591 nucleotides) under Scrippsiella acuminata. RNAcentral's name for it is "partial large subunit ribosomal RNA". It matches the Rfam family "Eukaryotic large subunit ribosomal RNA", at positions 76 to 656 of the family's 3401-position model. The record is from RNAcentral. Lineage: Eukaryota; Dinophyceae; Peridiniales; Peridiniaceae.
UCCCUCAGUAAUGGCGAAUGAACAGGGAUGAGCUCAGUAUGGAAAUUGGGGCCUGUGGCCUUGAAUUGUAGUCUGGAGAUGUACUACCAACUGGGGCGCAGAUGUAAGCCUCUUGGAAAAGAGCAUCAAUGAGGGUGAGAGUCCCGCUUGGCAUCUGCAGUCCCCAGUGCACGGUGUACCUUCUAAGAGUCACGUUCCUCGGGAUUGGAGCGCAAAUUGGGUGGUAAAUUUCAUCUAAAGCUAAAUAUUGUUUCGAGACCGAUAGCAAACAAGUACCAUGAGGGAAAGGUGAAAAGGACUUUGAAAAGAGAGUUAAAAGUGCCUGAAAUUGCUGAAAGGGAAGCGAAUGGAACCAGCGUAACUUGGUGAGAUUGCUGCGUAUCAAUGUGAUUGCUUGCUGCUUCAACGUAAGUGUGGUAGUAAGUCUUGAACAGGACAUGCGUGGUGUUUCUUGCCUUGUGUGUCACUGCCAGUUCACAGCUGGGGAAAACUUCAGGGGCAUGGUAGCUUGUCUCCGGAUGGGUGAACGUGUCUGCUGGAACUCAUUUGUGGACUGAUUGGUGACUAAAUGGUUCCAUCUGACCCGUCUUG